RNAcentral lists this ribosomal RNA (519 nucleotides) under uncultured bacterium. Its description in RNAcentral is "bacterial SSU rRNA". It matches the Rfam family "Bacterial small subunit ribosomal RNA", at positions 1 to 518 of the family's 1533-position model. The record is from RNAcentral.
UGUGUGCCUUGGCGUCUCGAGGGUUCGAUUCUGGCUCAGGAUGAACGCUGGCGGCGUGCCUAACACAUUCAAGUCGAACGGAGAUAUCAAGUAGCAAUAUGAGGUAUCUUAGUGGCGGACGGGUGAGUAACGCGUGAGCAACCUGCCCCGGAGUGCGGAAUAACGUCUGGAAACGGACGCUAAUACCGCAUGAUACACAGAGGACGCAUGGACUUUGUGUCAAAGAGAAAUCGCUCCUGGAUGGGCUCGCGUCCGAUUAGUUAGUUGGUGAGGUAAUGGCUCACCAAGACCGCGAUCGGUAGCCGGACUGAGAGGUUGAACGGCCACAUGGAACUGAGAAACGGUCCAGACUCCUACGGGAGGCAGCAGGUGGGGAAUAUUGGACAAUGGGACGAAAGCCUGACCCAGCGACGCCGCGUGAGGAAGAAGGUCUUCGGAUUGUAAACCUCUGUUGACAGGGAAAGAAAAAAUGACGGUACCUGUCGAGGAAGCCACGGCUAACUACGUGCCAGCCGCCGC